UGAUCUUUCGGUACAGAAGUUCCCAAGCUCC
RNAcentral lists this non-coding RNA (31 nucleotides) under Mus musculus (house mouse). The record is from RNAcentral. Lineage: Eukaryota; Metazoa; Chordata; Mammalia; Rodentia; Muridae.